UGGGUAGUCCGCACGAGCGCACCUUAUCUUCAGUUGCCAGCGGUUCGGCCGGGCACUCCGAAGAAACUGCCGGUGACAAGCCGGAGGAAGGUGGGGAUGACGUCAAGUCCUCAUGGCCCUUAUGGGCUGGGCUACACACGUGCUACAAUGGCGGUGACAAUGGGAUGCGAAGGGGCGACCCGGAGCUAAUCUCCAAAAGCCGUCUCAGUUCGAAUUGUACUCUGCAACUCGAGUGCAUGAAGGCGGAAUCGCUAGUAAUCGCGGAUCAGCAUGCCGCGGUGAAUACGUUCCCGGGCCUUGUACACACCGCCCGUCACACCAUGGGAGUUGGUUUUACCCGAAGCCGGUGUGCUAACCGCAAGGAGGCAGCCGUCCACGGUGAGGUCAGCGACUGGGGUGAAGUCGUAACAAGGUAGCCGUAGGGGAACCUGCGGCUGGAUCACCUCCUUUCU
Molecule: ribosomal RNA, 452 nt
Filed under: uncultured Alphaproteobacteria bacterium
Lineage: Bacteria; Pseudomonadati; Pseudomonadota; Alphaproteobacteria
Description: bacterial SSU rRNA
Rfam family: Bacterial small subunit ribosomal RNA
Source: RNAcentral